This 463-nucleotide ribosomal RNA is filed under the name uncultured bacterium. Its description in RNAcentral is "bacterial SSU rRNA". It matches the Rfam family "Bacterial small subunit ribosomal RNA", at positions 917 to 1382 of the family's 1533-position model. The record is from RNAcentral.
GGGCCCGCACAAGCGGAGGAACAUGUGGUUUAAUUCGAUGAUACGCGAGGAACCUUACCUGGGCUUAAAUGGGGAGUGACAGCUGCUGAAAGGUGGUUUUCUUCGGACACUCUCCAAGGUGCUGCAUGGUUGUCGUCAGCUCGUGCCGUGAGGUGUCGGGUUAAGUCCCAUAACGAGCGCAACCCUUACUGUUAGUUGCCAGCGGGUAAUGCCGGGGACUCUAGCGGGACUGCCACCGUAAGGUGAGAGGAAGGUGGGGAUGACGUCAAAUCAGCACGGCCCUUAUGUCCAGGGCUACACACGUGUUACAAUGGCCGGUACAAAGGGCAGCUACACCGCGAGGUGAUGCUAAUCUCCAAAGCCGGUCCCAGUUCGGAUCGAAGUCUGCAACCCGACUUCGUGAAGUUGGAUUCGCUAGUAAUCGCGCAUCAGCCAUGGCGCGGUGAAUACGUUCCCGGGCCUU